Molecule: long non-coding RNA, 6188 nt
Filed under: Sus scrofa (pig)
Lineage: Eukaryota; Metazoa; Chordata; Mammalia; Artiodactyla; Suidae
Description: lncRNA (ENSSSCG00060018223.1)
Source: RNAcentral
UAUCAUAGGUAGUAUGUGAAUACACUAGAGUGUAUUCCCAAAUUAUCUUAGUGGGAUAUAGAUAUAAAUAAGACAGAUACAAUUUAAAUAAUUCUUACAAGACAAAUACCCAGCAAACACAGUCUAAUUUUUAGUUUCCUAGUUCUAGCCUUUAGUGGCAAGUUUUCUAUAAUAGAGCAGAAUUUUAUUAUUUGUAAUCAUAUAUACACACACACAAACAUACAUAUAUGCAUAUACAUGUGUAAUGUAUAUCAACAAACACAUACACAGAGGCAUACACACAAAUCUUUGUGUGUACUGUGUGUGUGUUUAUAUACACUUGUAAUUAUCCUUUUGGAUUAUGUAGAACAGUCCCCGUUCCACAUGAAUAUUUGGCAAAAUUUUCCUACAGGUUCAGGUUAGAUGAACAGAAGCAAACUGCCCGGCCAGCAAAUAUACCUCAUGGGGGAAAUACAGGUUAUUGAUAAAUGCUGCAGAACUUACGCUGACACUUUGGUUUGUUUUGUCCCAGCAAAUGAGAAGGAUGUUCUUACUUCUUAACGGAAACACUAAAGCUCUACUUCCUUAAAACUUGAUCUUUGGAUGUAGAGACGGUACUCACUUCAAUAUACAUACAGAUGGCAAAACAAACCAAAGGUCGGUGUAUAAACCUCAUGUUUCUUAGAUAGAUAAGACAAGACUGUUGAUUCCAGGAUUGGACCAGCCUUAAUAAUAAUAAUAUUAAGAUUAACACAAAUCCAUAAAAAGACGUUAUUUAAUUUCCUUUUAAGCUAUCCUCAUUCUCCUUCUUGUCCUGAUUUAACUACUUUUUCUCAGCCCUUUGUACACUGGAUAUUCUAUUUGAAAACACAAAUAAUGCCAUGCAAUAAACAUGCUAUGAUCAUUUUUAUAGUUUUUUUGUGAUUAAAUGUCCUUACCAUGAGAAGUUCUUCAUAAAACUCCAAAAGAUGAUUUUCCUGGUAUGGAAAAAUAAAUCAUUAAAAUUAGAAAUAAUGAACAUUAUAUCAUCUGAUAUGUAGGUUUCCUUUUCUGAUUUAAAUUUCUUUAACUUGGCCAUGUUUAUUCAAAUAAGACUGCUGUUAUUAUUUGAACAGUUAAAACACUUUCACAUUUAAUGCAACACUAUUGACUUAUCACCAAGUAAAAUAAGUAUACCAACUAUAAAGUAUGAAAAUCCUUAGAGAUUUUCCACUUCCACUUCUACUAUUCAUUUAACGUGUAUUGGCCUCAGUUCCCAUAUAACAUCCUAGAAUUUGAGUCAGUUGAACUAUAGCAUAUAUGAAAUUCUAAUUAUGUUCAAAGCUUAGCCAAAGUAAUUUUAACUAAUUUAAAGAAAAGUUUUAUACAUGUUAAUUUUGAGAUGAUAAUUACACACACACAUAACACACACACAAAAUAUCAAGUUGUAUUUCAUGUAUCUCAAGUUUAAAUUGGGAUUCAAAGUUAUUGAGUAAUUUGCAACUAUUUAAUUUCAAUCAAGAGUAGAACAUAUUUUUCAUUUACUUUAGUAUUCUAAACACUGAAAGCCUGAGCUCAAACAUAAGAAAGAAAACUCUAAUUUGUCACUGAGUAAUUUAAAUACUUUUAAAAGAAACUUUUGCUCAUAAAAAGUACUUGUUUCAGCACUGUUACUUUUCUCAAUCCCUACCAUGUUUUUUUUUUUUUCUACUGUCAUCUUUUAAUUUAAAUUUGGAGUACCAACUCAGAAUUGAGCAAAAGCAAUAGAUUUCCAAAAUCAGAAGGCUGCUGUGAAUCACUUUCAAUAAGAGAAGAAAAACAAAUGAAAUACAGCCAGCAUUAGGCUCUGGAAUUGAAAUUACAAGCACUCUGAGGAAUAAUUAUAGUAUGUGGUCCAAGGAUCCUGCUGCUCAGGUCCAUUAACAUCGCAGACCCUGCUGAAUUAUGAAAAUGUUUCUAAGAUCUAACAGUUUUACAAAAAGUUGCCAAACAGAAUCCCCAAAAUAUUCCCUUGAUAAACAAAAAGGUUAUAUAAAACUCAAUAUUUAUAUUGUAGUCUUAAGAAAAGUUUGGGACAUACAGAUAUAUUCCACAGGUUAAAAAUGGUGAAAUGUCUGGUAUUAAAAUGAACGGGCAGAGCAACUGAAAACUCAGUUAAAUAGAUCUGAUUUUAAAUUCCAUCACCAACAGAAAAUGACUCUGAUACUCCCAAAGUAAUAAAGCCCAUAGUUCUUUCUGUGCAGCUCAAGAAUGCAGACCUGGGGCAGGUGAAAGUUACAGGAAGGUUAAUUUCAUCUUGAUAUAAGGGGGGGGGGAAUGCAUCAUAAGAUAGAGUGCUUUCAGUGACUACACACAUUUAAACAAAGGAUGGAUGGUUUCCUGUCAGCCAGUCUAGAAAGUGUUUCUGACUAGAGGUCUCCAUGCUUUUUCCCCACACUCAAGACUCAAUAAUUCUGUGCUUCUAUAACCUUUGUAGUGACCCUGAAAGAAAAUCUAGAUGCAAACCAAAUCUGUUAAUAUACUUUAAAUAUCACGUUCCUAUUAAAUAUUUCUUUAAAAACUUGUCAUGUUCUUCAUGGAUGUAUCAUAUCUCUUACCAGUGGGUCCUCACAUUUGGAGUUUCCUUAGGCUCAAACAUGCUUUCCCCUCUUGUUCCUCUCUAGCAAAUCCUGGGUAAGCCAUAGGUUCUCGCCACGUAUUAGCUUCUACAGGAACUCUUUCCUGUCCCUCUCCCACUAUGGAGACUGUGUUAAGUGUCCUUCAAUGUGCUUCUGUGGAACAUACCCUAUAGCUCGGCUCUUCAUAUUGUGUUGUAACUAUUUCCCUCACUAGACCAUACACUCCCAUAGGCAGUAGCUGAGAUUACAAUGAAAUACAUCGAAUAAAUUAGUCCUGUGAUAGUACCAGGUCCAGAAUAUUGGUAUGACUUGGAAAAGAUUAUUUUUUAGAUAAAUUUGAGAUAUUAUUGAAAAAAAAGCUGGUGAUGCAGAGGUUAAGCAAAUUUAUUUAAUGAAGUUCAUGACAGAGCCAUGCAAGUAUUUUUAUAUUCUGUGAAUCUACUAUUAUUAAGAGGAUAAGUGGAUGCAGAAUUUCCCAACAUUAUUUUACCUCAGAAUCUUUUUUUAUUUUUUCAUGGAGCUUCUUAUAAGUCUAGGGUUCCUCCUCAUUUAUUUUAGAGAAUGUUGAAUCAUUUCAUUCACAGAAUAGUAUCUUCCACAGAAUAGACCAUAAGAAAAACUAACUAUAUUAGUUAUUAAAGUAUAAACUAAUUGCUUUUAGGUUUCCUGAUAAAUUUCACUCUAUCUACCCCAAAUUACUGUUUUUAGAUCAAAGGAACUUUGUGAUAAUCUUCUUUAUUCUGAUUGUAGGAGUCCUAUUUCUGAUAUACUUAGUCAUUUUCACUUCUGUCAAAAGAACUCAGAUGCUAAAGACAUCAUAUCUACAGGAGGCUGUAUGUUUCAUUAUUAGAUAGACGUUAUUUUAAAAAUUAUUUUUCAUUGAACUUAUUGCUGAAUGCUCCUAACUUGAAUGCACUGAUUAGAGUGCCUCCUUUUCAAAUAACCAAAAAAAAAAAACAAAAAAAAAACCCAAAAAAACAAAAAAAAAAACAAAAAAACUCACACUUUCUGCUAUAUAACAGUUCCCAAGCAUUUUUUUAGGUUUCUCCCCUUUGAACUAAACAUCUUAGUUCCCUUUUUCCUACUUUAGUGUGAUUUCCAGAUUAUCAGAUUGACAGCAAUCUUGUUAUAAAAUUUAAGUUUACUGAUUCUGGUAUAUUAUUCUCAGCAUACUUUAAGUCAAGAUAAGAUAGAAUUUUAAUAUUCUGGAAAGAUACCAAGGUUCACUCCUGUGUUCUUUGUUACAUAUCAUUUAAGAUUCAUAGCUAUGAUCAAAAUUCAGUUUCCUAAUUUUCUAUAUUAUUCACUGACAUUCUCUCUGCAUUUUCUGUCAUUCAAUAAGAAGUUAUAAGAACUGUGAGGCCAAGUACCUUUCUUUUUCUCUAGAACACUUUGUAAAGUGUGCACAUACAUAAAAACUACUGAUUAACUGGUUGCCUGAAAACAGUGGUACACAUUUAAAUGCAGAAUUCUAGGGCUAUAGCCUUUGUGAAUACCCUUGCUUCUUGAUAUUUAGAGGGCUAAGAAAACUGGCAGUGGGCCAGAUAGAGUCAGUUGGUAUGCAGUAUGCUUCCUGACCUUCCAAGCUUUCUCUUCACUGGGAGGGAGGGUGGUAUAGUGAAAAACCUGAAAAUGACACUUCUAGAUUUUCUUGCCCAGGUCCCUAAUUGGCUCUAUACAUGGGAAGCAAUGGUAGGAAGCUAGAAGGCAGCGGUGAAUCAAAAGUCUUUCUAUCUUCAACUCUCAAGCAGCAGAAAGGCAACUACUAGCAAAGCGUAGACUCUAGAAUUUUCAGGUACCAACAGCAAAGGUGGAUGAAACCCCACUUGAGAAGCAGUGCUGCAGCUUAGCUAUGUUGAGGAAGGAAUAGUUCCCUGACUUGAGUUAACACACACUCUUCACUCUUCCCCCUUACUACCCAUCUAUCACUUUUGUAAAUAUUUAUCUGUAUUAAAAACCUUUCUUUGAGGGCAAACCAAUGGCCAAUAAACAUAAGAAAAGCCAUCAGAGAAAUACAAAUUAUAACCAUAAUGAAAUGCCACUUAAUAAUCACCAGAGUAGCCAUUUAGAAAGUUAAGAAAUAAAAGGGAAAAAAAAAUCCAAGUCUUGAUGAAGAUGCAGAGCGACCAGAAUAAACACAGCUGGUGAAAGUGUAAACAUGGUACAACCUCUUUGGGAACUUAUUUGGCCAGUUACUCCUGAAGGUGAACAUAUUCCAUCUCUAUGACUUAGGAAUUCCAUUUCUAGGUCUAUGCUUAUUAUAAAUGUGCACACAUGUUAAAAAAAAAAAAACUGACUAGAAUGUUGAUAGUAUACUAUUUGUAACACCUGAAACCUGGAUAUUACUCAAAUCUUCAUUAACAGUAGUAAGACAACUUGAGAUACGUUCAUAUAAAGGGACACUAUGCAGCAAUAAUAAUGACUACAAUCACUGAUGUUCAGCAACAAAAAUGAAUCAUAUAAAAAUGCUGAGCUACAGAAAUCCUGCAACGCAUGCAUACUAUUUUAUCCUUUUUUAUAUAAAAUAAAACAAACAAACGUAUUCCCUGCAGUAAGAAGUUAGGAUAAUUGACUGCCUUUAAGGGAAGGGCUAGGGAUGAUCUGGUUUUUUGAUUUGGGUGCCAGAGACAGGGAUAUUCAGUUGGCAAAAACUCUUUGAGGGGUACGGAAAAGUGCAAAUACUUCCAUAUAAUGUUUCCUUAAAAGUUCUUGCUCUAUUUCAGACCAGGAUAAACUACGACUUUGUCAGGGCAUAGCUGGGAAUAAUAUUAGUCUGGAAAAACUGAAAGCAAGUACUGUAUUUAUUUCUUUUAGCUUUACAACUACGAAGCAAAGCACUAAUAAAGUUCUCUCAGAACAUCUGAUUAUAAAAGAAAUUUAAUUCUUUUGAAAAACCUAGAGUGGUUUCUGUUUUUCUGAAUUAAUGUAUCAACAUGUAGCUUUAUUUGCUUUCUAAGCUAACAUAUGGAUUUCUUAUACACUAUUUCAAAAUGAGUUUCAUCAUAAUUUACAUAAAAUAACUGAAAAUCUCAGAAAAUAUAUGUUAAAAAUUUCUGCCAAAAUUCAUGAAAUAUCCCAACUCAUUAAGAAAUAAUUCAAGUUUUGAAGAUAUAUAAAGAAUACUAAUGACAUUUUCACAUACAUUUUAAACACUCCACUAUCACUUCCAGAUCAUAUUUAAAUAUUUUCAUUCAUUAUCAUUAUUUUCAUGAAACCUCUCAAGUCUUUCACAAGAGUAAAUUUUUCUCCUUCCAGACAAGAAAGGGGAAUUAUUAAAUAAAGUAGAACUUUAAGGGACAUAAUUUGUUUUAUUCAACUUUCAUUAUUAAAUAAAAAUCAGGGACUCAAAUAUUUAAUGAAAAAAAUUAAACAUACAGAGGCACAUUGUCUAAGUACAAUUACAAAUGCUAUUAUAUUUCUUUAUGGGACUCCUCAUUCAUAGGGACAAGAUUUAUACAAACAACCUCAAUAAAACCUUGCAAGCCAAUUAAAGCAAGCAAUGACCCAAAUGUGUCAAUUUCUUAGCCAUUUUAGAAAGUGCUCCAGGAGAAUGGGAACCAUUAUCAUUUUAAGUGACCAAACCAAAAAAAAAAAAAAAAAAAAAAAAAAAAA